This 3280-nucleotide long non-coding RNA is filed under the name Octopus vulgaris (common octopus). The record is from RNAcentral. Lineage: Eukaryota; Metazoa; Mollusca; Cephalopoda; Octopoda; Octopodidae.
GAUUCCAUUUUUAAUUCCUAUAAAAAUAGUGUCACAAAUUCGGCUUCUUUCAAAUUUCGAAAUUUGCAUUGUGUCUUUGAAUAACGAAAAUUCUCUCAGUAAGGUUCCAUUCCUGAAAUAUAAUUUCUACACAUAAGUUAUCACUUAGCUUAAGCUUACGCCAAAGGAAGCAUACAAAACAUCAUCAUUCUAAUGUAUACAUUACAAUUUAUACCAUAUUUGGGCACGAGGGUGGACAACUAUAUUAUAUGUGUGUAUGUGGGGGCGUUGAAGCAUGAACAUGCAUGUAAAUAUUUCGUACAAAUAUACUCUCUUCAAUAGACUUCGCUUUUUGAAAUCAUUAUGACGCAUUAAUUAUAGUUUAAGAUUAAAUUCAUUUAUAUCUACAUAUUAAAUGGUGAUACAUCUAAACAUAUGAUUAUGUAUAUUUGCAGUAGUAUAUUAUAAUACAUUUCUGUUUUUCAGCAUGUACUACUGAGAAUUAAAAUUUUGCUCAGUGUUUAUCAUUCCCGUAGAUUUCUAGUGUAACGUGUUGCAUAUAAUAUAUAUAAGUGCCUCCAUGUGUAACUGCAUGCGCCAGCGUUUGUAAGUUUGCGUGUGUAUGCAUGUGUGCGUAUUCGUUGAUGUGAGUGUGCACACGCGUGUGCGCAUGUUUGUUUGUAAUCGAUAAAAUGAGAACAAAUAAACAAAUACCGUGUUUUCAAUAAUUUGUGUAUUUAAAAAUAACAUGGCAUUACUUAAAAAGAGACUAAUAACUUUAUUUUUUUAUUAGUCACAUAUUGAUUUUUUUUACAGGGAAUUUUUGUGAUGUUCCUUGUUAAUGGAAUUGGCUUUUCUUGCAACCUGGCACUUUAAUAGACUUCGCUUUUUGAAAUCAUUAUCGCGCGUUAAAUAUAGCUAACAUCAAAUUCAUACUGUGACGAAUGUGUGUGCGUUAACAUAAAACAAGUUACAUAUAUAUACCUGAAUCUGUUUACUCCUCUUCACAUCAUAUUCCAACAACUCAUCAUCUUGAAAGAUAAUAAAGAUUUUCUGUUCAAAAAUGUAGUUAUAUUUCUAGAUUAGAAUGUGAACAGCUUCUCUUUCUUUGAUCUCAUAUGUUUCGUAUCGAUUAGCACUAUGUGUAACUCUGUGUUCAAAUUACAUCUUAUCCUGUAAAUACAGCAGAAGUUAUAUGAUAGUUCUUAAAAUAAGUAUUUAUAACUCAGACAAAUGCAUCCUGAAGAAGCAGACAUACGAGAAAUAUAUUUAAAAUUAUACAUUUUCGUUUCGGGAUUCACUUCAAAUAGAACAUUUUUAUCAAUAUCGUUUUUUUUUUUCCUUUUACUUCAUCAUUGUCUGCGUUAAUAAACCUCACUAUGUACUAUAAUUGAACAUUGUGUCGCCAUUGUAGGGAUUCUAGUUAUACUUAUCGUAUUGAUUAGUAACUCUUGGAAAUUUUGAUAAUCAUAAAGUUGAUAGAUGUUCAUAUUAUUGUGUAGGAUUAUAUUUUCCUCUUAAAUAUGUACGAAAAUUAAAUUCAUGUAAAAAUUCUGCCGAAAGUUGUUAAAACUCCGACAGUAUGCGUUAGAAAGAUGCUUUGGAUGAAGGAGUCUACUACUUUUUUAUUAUACUUAUUUUAUUUAUUAUACUGUAGUUUUGUGUUUUAUUUAUUGCAUUUUUAUUGUAUUUUAUUUUCACAUUAUUAUAUGAACAAGUUAACCGUAACCCAUUGAGUAUUUGAGUUAUUCUUUAUUCAUUUGUGUAUGACAUCAUUCUAUUUACCAUACUAGCUAUUUUUGGUUUAAAAUUCAGCUCAGUCUUUCGUUUGGUAUUCAUAUAACUAAGGAAAAUAUACUCUACAGAUACGUAAAAACAGUGAUUCAUGAAAUUGUGACAGAAAAUGUUCUGCUAUUUCUAAAUAAAAUGUCUAAAUAUGCUUUCAGAGAAUUAAAUACAGGGAUACAUAGAUUACAGUUUCUACUUUCUAUGGGCACGAGAGUGGACCGCUAGAUUGUGUGCGUGUGUGUGUGUGAGUGUGUGUGCGUGCGUGUGUGUGUGUGUGUGUGUGUGUGUGUGUGUGUGUGUGUGUGUGUUCCCGUUCUAUCAUAACUGUACAAAGUGUGUCGUUAAUCUCUGCACCACUACUCUCCAGGAUGUUAAGGUUUUGGAAUAACGUCGAUUACUUAACGUUCAAUUGCUUCACGUCUAAUGACAAAGCUGGAAGGAUAUUCUGGGUACAUUAGGCAGUUCCGUACAAAUAGCUAUUGUCUUCUUGAGAGGUUAGUAUUCAUUUUCACACUAGUUACUAACUGUAUCCAGCUGGAGCUGAUUGAUAUCCAAGCAUCAGAUGCAGUAGUUAACAAAAUACGUAGUCAAGCGUUUAUUGAAAUUCUAAGUUUCACAAAUACAAAGAAUUUUUAUCUCUGCUGCUGCUAUGACGAUUCGCAUUUAUUCGGCUGUCCAAAUAUUCUUUAUACCAUAGAGGACAUUCUUGACACGUCAUCUACGCACAUUGAUAUCCCUCCACACACCAUGUAUUAUUUGAAAUAUUUAAUGCCAUAUUUGCCUGCACAGAAGUUAGAUAAGUUACUCUGUUGAGAACUCGCAAUACCCAUGAACUUCACAUAUUCUAUAGAAAGUGAGAUUCAUGCAAUCGACGUCGAGAAUUGAUAUUUGCAGACCAAUAUAUACUGAAAAAAAAAAACUGUUUGGCAUGAAAAAAAAAAGAAACACGUACAAACACGUAAGAGUAAUAUAUUUCUAUUUUGUGGUAAAGUGUAUAUUUUAGGAUAAUUUUUUUUAUAAACAUCAAAUGGCAAGAGGUGGUUGAUAUGAGACAGAUACAAACGUCACAUUUUAUUUUCUUUCACUAAUUUAAUAAUAAAUUGACUUUUGCACCUUACUCUAACCUAAAUGCCAAACAAAAGAAAAUUUCAGCUAAAAUAUGUUGUAUACAGUGUCAUCCGCGAAGAUGACAGACCAUCAUAUAAAAAAUGUUUACUUUGAAAUCGAUUUUGAAAAUAAGUUGUAUUCCCACGAUGUUCGAGCAUACACAACACCAUCACCAACCAAAGAUUUUUUUUUUAUCAGGUUUUUAAUUUUCUGAUAUAUUUAUCGCUUUAUGCCUCUAAGAAUUUCUAUUGUUACUUCAAGUUACAAAACUCGAAUGUCAAAGCAUUACAUUUUUCUCCUUCUAUCAAUUGCUAUCUGAGAAUUUAACAAAAUUUAGCAAAACUAAAACCAAGAAAUAUUCAGAAAUGGAAAGUUGACAAUCAAUCUAGAUUCACUUAAAAACACC